UACGGAGGGUGCAAGCGUUAUCCGGAUUCACUGGGUUUAAAGGGUGCGUAGGCGGACUUAUAAGUCAGUGGUGAAAGCCCGGGGCUCAACUCCGGAAUUGCCGUUGAUACUGUAAGUCUCGAGUACAGUUGAGGUGGGCGGAAUACAUCAUGUAGAGGUGAAAUUCUUAGAUAUGAUGUAGAACACCGAUUGCGAAGGCAGCUCACUAAAGUGUAACUGACGCUGAGGCACGAAAGCGUGGGUAUCAAAC
This 250-nucleotide ribosomal RNA is filed under the name uncultured bacterium. RNAcentral describes it as "partial 16S ribosomal RNA". It matches the Rfam family "Bacterial small subunit ribosomal RNA", at positions 524 to 773 of the family's 1533-position model. The record is from RNAcentral.